Non-coding RNA from Apaloderma vittatum (bar-tailed trogon), 59 nucleotides. Lineage: Eukaryota; Metazoa; Chordata; Aves; Trogoniformes; Trogonidae. The record is from Rfam.
UAGCUCAGUCGGUUUGAGUGUGGUGCUGAUAACACCAAGGUUGUGGGUUCGAUCCCCGU